GACGAACGCUGGCGGCGUGCUUAACACAUGCAAGUCGAACGGAAAGGCCCUGCUUUUGUGGGGUGCUCGAGUGGCGAACGGGUGAGUAACACGUGAGUAGCCUGCCCUUGACUUUGGGAUAACUUCAGGAAACUGGGGCUAAUACCAGAUAGGAGCUCCUGCUGCAUGGUGGGGGUUGGAAAGUUUCGGCGGUUGGGGAUGGACUCGCGGCUUAUCAGCUUGUUGGUGGGGUAGUGGCUUACCAAGGCUUUGACGGGUAGCCGGCCUGAGAGGGUGACCGGCCACAUUGGGACUGAGAUACGGCCCAGACUCCUACGGGAGGCAGCAGUGGGGAAUAUUGCACAAUGGGCGGAAGCCUGAUGCAGCAACGCCGCGUGCGGGAUGACGGCCUUCGGGUUGUAAACCGCUUUCGCCUGUGACGAAGCGUGAGUGACGGUAAUGGGUAAAGAAGCACCGGCUAACUACGUG
RNAcentral lists this ribosomal RNA (468 nucleotides) under uncultured bacterium. RNAcentral's name for it is "partial 16S ribosomal RNA". It matches the Rfam family "Bacterial small subunit ribosomal RNA", at positions 28 to 507 of the family's 1533-position model. The record is from RNAcentral.